This 254-nucleotide ribosomal RNA is filed under the name uncultured prokaryote. RNAcentral's name for it is "partial 16S ribosomal RNA". It matches the Rfam family "Bacterial small subunit ribosomal RNA", at positions 525 to 777 of the family's 1533-position model. The record is from RNAcentral.
ACGGGGGGAGCAAGCGUUGUUCGGAUUUACUGGGCGUAAAGGGCGCGUAGGCGGCCACCGCAAGUCGACUGUGAAAUCUCUGGGCUUAACCCAGAACGGCCAAGUGAAGCUGUUGUGCUAGAGUGCAGAAGGGGCAAUCGGAAUUCUCGGUGUAGCGGUGAAAUGCGUAGAUAUCGAGAGGAACACCUGAGGUGAAGACGGGUUGCUGGGCUGACACUGACGCUGAGGCGCGAAAGCCAGGGGAGCAAACAGGA